Corvus hawaiiensis (hawaiian crow) is the source of this 3249-nucleotide long non-coding RNA. RefSeq lists it as uncharacterized. The record is from RefSeq and is a predicted model, not a curated record. The transcript is spliced from 3 exons. NCBI's taxonomy places the organism in Eukaryota, Metazoa, Chordata, Aves, Passeriformes, Corvidae.
AUUUUUUUUCUCUCGCCUAGCCAGCUGUGGCAGGGGAGGGUGAGUGAGCGACUCUCGUGGGUGCCUGGCAUUGGGCCAGCAUCAAAUGACAGUGGGCGACUUGCCUGGCCACACAGUGUGGUGUCUCUCACCGGGGACUUUGUUGCUUUGUGGUUUUUGCCCAUUUCUUUUCCUUUGGCACUGUGACUGGGCUUACUGGCUUGCUUCUCUGCUGUUUGGGAGCCCCGAGCCAGCGCAUGCCGGGUUGCCCUCCACUUGCCUCUGCACAGCCCAGACCCAGGGACCAGCCAUCGCAGGCUGCUGUGAAAGUAAACCCACAGGCUCCCAAGUCACAGCAGAAGUCACUUGGCAGAAUUGGUAACAUCUGAACACCCUGAAGUGGUUCCAUCUGGCAUGGUGCUGCCUCCCCGUGCCUCCACAAGACAGGAAAAAGUAAAAGACAAAUACAAGACAAGAGGAUGUGACAGCUGCAUCCCAACCACUUUCCCACACCUCCCAUCUUCUAGGCUGAGAUUUACAUCACUGCAUUAACCUGGCUGCCUGUGAAAGAGUUUCAUGGUUAGGAGACAUGAAAACCAUCUGAGGUGAAGUCUGAAGACACACAAAAAGGAAUGCCAGGUAAGGUUUUUUACCGAGUGAAUGAAGAUCUGAAAAUAUUUGUGUUUGAACUGCAGAACUUGAGAACAGUGAAUUUGUCAGAUGUAUCUUACCGUGCAAAAUGAAAGGAGAAAAAAAUUGGUUGAAACAACAUAAAAUUGUAUAUACAGCUCCUUGGAACUGUUCAGUGUCAGUCUGCUGGCUCUAAGACGUUCUGCAUCCAAGAUCCUGAAAAAAUGUGAAGUUUCAUAACUAGUCAUUUAAAAAAACCCCCAAACUCUGAAGUAUAAUGGUGUGCCCAUGGGAAAACAGCUUCCUUGCACCCCUCUCUGCUUGUACCAACAAAGCAAUUCAUCACUAGAGAGUGUUUUUAAACUGUUGCAUUUAUGAAGGAGGAUGUAACUGGUAUGCAGUGGAUCACCAACACUUGUUUUAAUUCUUGCCUAAGGAACAGACAACUCAUAAAGCUGACUGCCACUGGACUAUCAUGUGCAGUAGAAUUCCUUAGUCUUCAUCUCCCUGCAGGUCAGCAUCACCAGCUUUAAUUAUGUGCAUUCUUUGAUGUUUUAAGAGACAUUUAAGUGCCUGGUAGAGCACCAGCAGUUUCUUCCAGCUUGCAGCUGAACUCACACCGCCUUUACUCAUAAAAAAAGAGUAAUUGUGACUGCAUUCUUUAUUGAGGCACUGCAGUGCUGGAAUUCAUAUGAAAGGGAAAAAGCACAAGCAGCAUCAGCUUUACUCGGUAACUGGAAAUAGCCAUGGUCUAGUUGAAGGCUGAACCAGCAGCCUCUCCAGCAGUGCAGAGGUGGUGUGCUGACUGGGGACAGGGACCAGCCCACCUCCUGCCAGGAAGCUCCUGAGACAGAGCAUGACCCUGUGUAACUCACAAAUAACCUCAGCAUUUCCAGACUGCAAAUCAAUUAGAUAAAAGGUAGGUGUUAACUGCAAACAUACCGAGUAGUAAGUAUGUACAGUUUAUUUAAAAUACUUCUUAACAUAUAAAACCCCCUCACUAUUUAUACAGUCUAAGUCCUAGCAACAUAUACAAAUACUGAGCAACUACAGUACAUGCUGAGGUAAGAACAUACAUUCUGGGAGAAUACUCAAGCCAAACAAGAGUGAAAUACAUAUUAUAUACAUGUCUUCACAUAUAAGAGAGACCCAUGAAAUGUACCUUUGCUUUAUUGUACACAGGCAAAUUCUAGUCUUAGUGUGUCAUGCAAUUAAACCCAACUGUUUACAUAUUCAAAUGUAUCUCAGCCCUAGCAGAUAACAUGUUCAAAGUCUGAGGCAGGAGCAUAGCCUGGGACCAAAUUCCUUCAGAAAAGGGGCUUAAAUUUUAAAAACAUCAAUUUCUUUAACAGCUCAUGCUCCUCAGAUGAUGAAGUUGCAUUAUGUUUUCUUAAAAAAUAACCCACUGUAGACAAACUGUUUAAUUCUUGCACCACCUUAGCUUGCAGCUAUCCACAGUUCUACCAUUCCUGGUCUGAAGUAAAAAUUAAAUCCAGGUGUGUUUACACUGACUUCAACAUAUCCAUUUGUUUUUAUGGUAAUUUUUCUAAGCCUAAACUGGUGCACGUUGAGAAUGGAGAGGAUUCUUAACUUGGCUGUAAUCGUAUUGUCACAUCUCAAUAGAAACCAACAACUUCCCACCCCUUUCAAACAGAAUCAGCUCAGGUAAUUUCAGUUAUACUUGCUGCUGAUAGCUAAGAACACUUACUCACCUGUUUAAGCAAAACUACAAAGAUUGCAGACUAUUUUUGUCAGGCAGAAAAAGCUGCAGUAACAUCAAAAGUACAAGUAUAGGCAGGAAUUUGCUGUUCACAAAUGGGUCUUAAUUACCAUCCUUCCUUACAUUGACAUUUACGCUUAAGACACCCAACUCUAAAAUAAGUAAUUAAGAAAAAGUCAGUGAAUGAGAAAGAAUGAUCAGGAAUUGUAGAAUUGGGCUUUAAGGUAGCACAGAGUAUUUUCAGCAUCUUUGUUGGCUACAGGGACAGUGGGACUGAGCACACCCUCAGCGAGUUUGCCAACACCACCAAGCUGUGAGGUGCAGUGAAGAUGCUGGAGGGAAGGGAUGCCAUCCAGAGGGAGCUGGACAGGCCUGAGAGCUGGCACCUCAUGAACAAGGUAUUGUCCUACACCUGGAUCAGGGCAAUCCCAGGCACAUGUACAGGCUGGGCAGAGAAGUGAUUGAGAGCAGCCCUGCAGAGAAGGACUGGGGGGUGUUGGUUGAUGAAAAACUCAAAAUGAGCCAGCAGUGUGCUCUCACAGCCCAGAAAGCCAGUGGAAUCCUGGGCUGCAUCAAAAGGGGCAUGGCCAGCAGGGUGAGGGAAAGGAUUCUCCUCUGGUGAGACCCGACCUGCAGUGCUGCAUCCAGCUCUGGUGCCCACAACAUAAGGACAUGGAACUGUUGGAGCGAGUCCAGAGGAGGCCAUGAGGUUGGUAAGAGGACUGGAGCCCCUCCCCUAUGGAGACAGGCUGAGAAGGUUGGGGCUGUUCAGUCUGCAGAAGAGGAGGUUGUGUGGAACCUCAUUACAACCUCCCAGGAUCUGAAGGGGCCUGCAGGGAAGCCGGAGAGGGACUCUUUGUCAGGAACUGCAGUGACAGGACAAGGGGAAAUGGGUACAGACUGAAAGAGGGGAAGUUUAG